UUAAUAAUUGUUAUAGUUGGGUCUACCAACAAUAAUCAAACUCACUUAUAACCCUUAAAAUUAAUCACCAACAAGUAAAAGGAGAUAACCAGCAAUUUAAUAGCAACCAAAUGAAACCGUUACAACUCAAGAAUUGAGGUAGAGCAGAAAAGGUACAAGAUAGAAUAAAGAAAGAAGUAAGAGGAAGCUGAAAGAGGAACUUAUGAGAAUAUGAUUCUAACAACCCCUACUUCCUAUCAUCCAACGCACUUAUAAAAUAAAGGUAAAGAGAAAAGAAAACAGUAAAGGAAAAUAAAGGAAAAAGCGUGUUUUCUACUGUGACAAUUUCUCAUUCAACAAAAUGACGCAUUGUCACUUAAAACAAAAACUGCCCUUUCUUCAAUUCAAACUCCGUGAGCCGUUACUUCAUCUUUUUUCUUCCCUCGCUCUGUGAUUCCUUUUCUUCCUCAAUCCCAACUCCAGUUGGUUUCCUGUCCUCCUUGUUCCUCUCCAUAACAUCCCCCCCUUAAAACAACUUUGUCCCCAAUGUUCUAUUAGAGAUUGUUUCUCGCGCACAAGAUGAUCUGGGAAUGCAAGAACUGGGGUAUCCCUAUCCCCAAUCUUCUUCUUCAAAAGGGAGACAUGGAAUACCGAAUGGACUUGAGCUCCCGUUGGCAGCACCAAUUUAUAUGCAACCUUACCUAGUUUCUGAAUUACUUUGUAAGGACCAUAAUACUUUGCUGCUAGCUUCUUGUCGAUCCUCUUAGCCACAGAUGGUUGAGCAUAGCCAUGAAGUUUGAGAUAGACCUAGUCUCCUAGUUGGGAUUCCCUUUCAUUCCUGUGUUUAUCAGCAUAUAGUUUUAUUCGAGCCUUAAAUUGUGCCAAAUUUUCCUGUCGGAUAUGAUCAAUUUUAUGCCUCUUUUGAAAUAGAUUAUCCACUGCAGUGACAUCGAUCUACUGGUAAGGUCCCAAAGCUAAUCGUGGAGGUUGGAUGCCAUAAAGUGCCUCAAAGGGUGUCAUUUUAAUAGAGGUGUGAAGGGUAGUGUUGUACCACCACUCAGCUAGACUAAUCCACUUACUCGAUUGUCUAGGUUGUUUGAGAACAAUGCAUCUCAGGUACAUCUCUAGAGAUUGAUUUAAUCUUUCAGUUUGCCCAUCUGUUUGGAGAUGGCAAGCCGAACUCAAUUGUAACUUGUAACCCCCCGAC
This 1186-nucleotide long non-coding RNA is filed under the name Olea europaea subsp. europaea. Lineage: Eukaryota; Viridiplantae; Streptophyta; Magnoliopsida; Lamiales; Oleaceae. The record is from RNAcentral.